AACGAACGCUGGCGGCAUGCCUAACACAUGCAAGUCGAACGAGACCUUCGGGUCUAGUGGCGCACGGGUGCGUAACGCGUGGGAACCUGCCCUUAGGUUCGGAAAAACUCCCCGAAAGGGGUGCUAAUACCGGAUAAUGUCUUCGGACCAAAGAUUUCUCGCCUUUGGAUGGGCCCGCGUUGGAUUAGCUGGUUGGUAGGGUAAAAGCCUACCAAGGCGACGAUCCAUAGCUGGUCUGAGAGGAUGAUCAGCCACACUGGGACUGAGACACGGCCCAGACUCCUACGGGAGGCAGCAGUGGGGAAUAUUGGACAAUGGGCGAAAGCCUGAUCCAGCAAUGCCGCGUGAGUGAUGAAGGCCUUAGGGUUGUAAAGCUCUUUUACCCGGGAUGAUAAUGACAGUACCGGGAGAAUAAGCUCCGGCUAACUCCGUG
Molecule: ribosomal RNA, 433 nt
Filed under: uncultured bacterium
Lineage: Bacteria
Description: partial 16S ribosomal RNA
Rfam family: Bacterial small subunit ribosomal RNA
Source: RNAcentral